UCGCCUGUUUAUCAAAAACAUAGCCUUUAGCAAAUAAAGUAUUAAAGGUGCCGCCUGCCCAGUGACUCAUUUAACGGCCGCGGGAUCCUCCACCGUGCAAAGGUAGCAUAAUCACUUGUCCCCUAAAUAGAGACUAGUAUGAAUGGCCUAAUGAAGAUUUACCUGUCUCUUAUAGUUAAUCUAUUAAACUGAUCUUUCAGUACAAAAGCUGAAAUAAAAACACAAGACGAAAAGACCCUGUGGAACUUCAAGCCAAAAAUCAACACAAUGAUAACUUAGCUUUUAGUUGGGGCAACUUUGGAAAAAAACCAAACUUCCAAUAUUUAAACCAAGACAGACAUGCCUAAGACACCCACUACAGACCCAGUCAUACUGAUCAAAGAAAUAAGCUACCCCAGGGAUAACAGCGCCAUCCCCUCUUAGAGCCCCAAUCGACGAGCGGGGUUUACGACCUCGAUGUUGGAUCAGGGCACCCAAGCAGUGCAGCAGCUGCUAAAGGUUUGUUUGUUCAACAAUUAAUGCCCUACGUGAUCUGAGUUCAGACCGGA
RNAcentral lists this ribosomal RNA (548 nucleotides) under Heterodactylus imbricatus. RNAcentral's name for it is "partial 16S ribosomal RNA". It matches the Rfam family "Bacterial large subunit ribosomal RNA", at positions 1796 to 2620 of the family's 2925-position model. Lineage: Eukaryota; Metazoa; Chordata; Lepidosauria; Squamata; Gymnophthalmidae. The record is from RNAcentral.